RNAcentral lists this long non-coding RNA (408 nucleotides) under Heterocephalus glaber (naked mole-rat). RNAcentral's name for it is "lncRNA (ENSHGLG00100034542.1)". The record is from RNAcentral. Lineage: Eukaryota; Metazoa; Chordata; Mammalia; Rodentia; Bathyergidae.
CCCUCGCUGCUGAGGGAAGGAGGUGAGCAGCCUUCCUCUACGCAGACCCUUCCUCUACGCAGACCCUUCCUCUCUGCCACAGACCACGCAAGGACUGAAAUUUCUAAACUAUGGAAAAUCAAGGCAGGAGCACGAGGGUAACUCGCCCAAGGUGAGAAGACAAGAGACAACUGGCACACACCUGGCACUCACCUGGUCCCCAGCCACGCUUCAUGCUCAGAAGCCGCCUGUAUGGAGAACUGACAUUGUCACAUUCCAGCCGGAAAAGCGUCACCCAAACCAUGCCCCCGCCUCUUCUGCCUUUCUUCUCCCUCAAGCUCCCAAGGACAGACCUGUGUUUGCCCACCCAGGAAGCCUCCCACCUGCAGCUGAACACUUGGCUCACUCUGUUGCUGUGCUCACCUGCAG